CACAAAUUCCUGAAAAUAAAUUAGCCGUGAUUUGCGGAAAAAAUGUUCUUAAUUAUUUUUUCCCGCAUGAUGUCCUUUCAGGUUCCAGGAAACAGCACGGGCAUGUAUUAGGCAUAAUAAGUUAAGAAAUCUGAAACUCAAAGGAAAACUGAUUA
Sitophilus oryzae (rice weevil) is the source of this 155-nucleotide long non-coding RNA. RefSeq lists it as uncharacterized. The transcript is spliced from 3 exons. NCBI's taxonomy places the organism in Eukaryota, Metazoa, Arthropoda, Insecta, Coleoptera, Curculionidae. The record is from RefSeq and is a predicted model, not a curated record.